UGCCUAAUACAUGCAAGUAGAACGCUGAAGCUUGGUGCUUGCACCGAGCGGAUGAGUUGCGAACGGGUGAGUAACGCGUAGGUAACCUGCCUCUUAGCGGGGGAUAACUAUUGGAAACGAUAGCUAAUACCGCAUAAAAGUCGACAUUGCAUGAUGUUGACUUGAAAGGUGCAAUUGCAUCACUAAGAGAUGGACCUGCGUUGUAUUAGCUAGUUGGUGAGGUAACGGCUCACCAAGGCGACGAUACAUAGCCGACCUGAGAGGGUGAUCGGCCACACUGGGACUGAGACACGGCCCAGACUCCUACGGGAGGCAGCAGUAGGGAAUCUUCGGCAAUGGGGGCAACCCUGACCGAGCAACGCCGCGUGAGUGAAGAGGGUUUUCGGAUCGUAAAGCUCUGUUGUAAGAGAAGAACGAGUGUGAGAGUGGAAAGUUCACACUGUGACGGUAACUUACCAGAAAGGGACGGCUAACUACGUGCCAGCAGCCGCGGUAAUACGUAGGUCCCGAGCGUUAUCCGGAUUUAUUGGGCGUAAAGCGAGCGCAGGCGGUUAGAUAAGUCUGAAGUUAAAGGCUGUGGCUUAACCAUAGUACGCUUUGGAAACUGUUUAACUUGAGUGCAGAAGGGGAGAGUGGAAUUCCAUGUGUAGCGGUGAAAUGCGUAGAUAUAUGGAGGAACACCGGUGGCGAAAGCGGCUCUCUGGUCUGUAACUGACGCUGAGGCUCGAAAGCGUGGGGAGCAAACAGG
This 748-nucleotide ribosomal RNA is filed under the name uncultured Bacilli bacterium. RNAcentral describes it as "bacterial SSU rRNA". It matches the Rfam family "Bacterial small subunit ribosomal RNA", at positions 45 to 776 of the family's 1533-position model. The record is from RNAcentral. Lineage: Bacteria; Bacillati; Bacillota; Bacilli.